ACGGGACCCGCACAAGCAGAGGAGCGCGUGGUUUAAUUCGACGGCAAUCGAAGAACCUUACCAGGGUUUGAAAUGUAUCUGCAUGCCCUAUGAAAAUAGGGAGGCCUUCGAGGGUGAUACACAGGUGCUGCAUGGCCGCCGUCAGCUCGUGUCGUGAGAUGUAGGGUUAAGUCCCGAAACGAGCGCAACCCCUAUUCUAUGUUACAAGUGUCUUAGAAAACCGCCUCGGUAAAACGAGGAGGAAGUGGGGAUGACGUCUGGUCCGCAUAGCCCUUAUGUCCUGGGCUACACACGCGCUACAAUGGCCGAUACAGUAGGAAGCCAAAUCGUAAGAUGGAGCUAAUCCUUAAAGUCGGUCUCAGUUCGGAUUGAGGUCUGAAAUUCGACCUCAUGAAGUUGGAUUUGCUAGUAAUCGUAGAUCAGCAAUGCCACGGUGAAUACGUUCUCGGGUCUU
RNAcentral lists this ribosomal RNA (454 nucleotides) under uncultured Thermovirga sp. Its description in RNAcentral is "bacterial SSU rRNA". It matches the Rfam family "Bacterial small subunit ribosomal RNA", at positions 916 to 1381 of the family's 1533-position model. Lineage: Bacteria; Thermotogati; Synergistota; Synergistia; Synergistales; Thermovirgaceae. The record is from RNAcentral.